GGCCCCGGGGACCCGCGACGCCACCUUCAGCGUAGCGGUCCCGUGGUUCGGCCCGGGAAGAUCAUGGAAGAGGCGGCGGAUCCCGGCUGCUCCCCGGCCCCGAACCCCCAGCCCAACCACGCAGUCAUAAAUAACCGCGCCAGCCCGGCGACACCUGGCUACGCGACAGCGCGACACUGCGGGCACAGCCGAGUCAGCGUAACUGAGGCGCGGCCGAGUGCGGGGCUCUCUGGGGCCCGCGCCGCUGCUACGGGCGGGGUGGGUCUCCGAGCUGGGCUCAGCGCCCGUCUGGGACACUCACAUUCCCUAACGGUCUCCUGACCUCAGGAAACUCAAGGUCUUGACUCAAGGUCGUGAACGAUUUGCAAUUGUAUCUUCACAUAUACGACACAAAUGAGGUAUAAGCAUUUGGCUCAAGUCAUAACGAUUGCAAAUUAAGGCAAACACUUUGACGACUGAAGGGCAGCUUCCGGACUUUUGAUGGGAGAAGGCUAAUGCUGUUUUUUAGAAGCAUUAGCACACCCGCGGUCACUUAAUUCAACAAAUCAGAACUGUCUUGUGCAUAUAAAAGUUAAAAAUUUUAAAACUUCUGUGAAUAAAGAUAAAAUCUUGAACGAUACCCUGAUUUUUCAGGGAAGCGCUGUUUGUAUAAAUAUAAAAUAAAU
This 665-nucleotide long non-coding RNA is filed under the name Homo sapiens (human). RNAcentral describes it as "HSALNT0133509". The record is from RNAcentral. Lineage: Eukaryota; Metazoa; Chordata; Mammalia; Primates; Hominidae.